This is an RNA transcript of Asparagus officinalis (garden asparagus), 1702 nucleotides long. It is a transcript of the gene named exosome complex component RRP41 homolog, with no coding region annotated. Lineage: Eukaryota; Viridiplantae; Streptophyta; Magnoliopsida; Asparagales; Asparagaceae. The record is from RefSeq and is a predicted model, not a curated record. The transcript has 13 exons.
CGCCCUCCUCCUUCCCCGCGACGACUCUCUCUUCCCUCUCCGAGGACCUGCGCUCCUCUCUCUCCGACGCCCUCCUCCCUCCCCGCCGACGCUGUCCUCCCUCCCCGCGACGACGCCCUCGUCCCUCCCCGCGACGACGCGCGCUUCCCUCGAUCUCUGUAGAUCUUGGAGAUUUCGUGCCGUGAUUCUCUGCUUUUUCUCACUUGAAAGGGGCCCUCAGUCCGUCGAUCGAUUUUAACCUCCGUGCGAAAAUUGUAGAAAGGAGGAGGGGCGAAACAUCUCACCCUCUCUAUUCGUUUCUCAAUCUCUUUAUUUUCCAAACUUUGAACAUUGUAGAGAAAACUCCACAACGCAGUAAUGGAGUACGUGAAUCCGUUAACAGGAUUUCGCUUAGAUGGCCGCCGCCCAAAUGAAAUGAGACAGAUUCGAGGGGAGAUUGGGGUCGUAGCAAAAGCUGACGGGUCCGCUUUGUUUGAGAUGGGGAACACUAAGGUCAUUGCUGCUGUCUAUGGGCCUCGAGAGGUCCAGAACAGGAGCCAGCAAAUUAACGACCAAGUCCUGGUACGCUGCGAGUAUAGCAUGGCUAAUUUUAGCACAGGAGACCGGAUCAGAAAACCAAAGGGAGACAGGCGGUCUACAGAAAUAUCUUUAGUAAUUCGCCAAACAAUGGAGGCAUGUAUUAUGACCCAUCUAAUGCCAAGGUCCCAGAUUGAUAUAUUCGUUCAAGUUCUUCAAGCUGAUGGUGGAACGAGAUCAGCCUGCAUCAAUGCUGCAACAUUAGCAUUAGCAGAGGCUGGGAUACCGAUGCGUGAUCUUGUAACCUCCUGUAGUGCUGGAUAUCUCUGUACAACGCCUUUACUAGAUCUGAACUACGUUGAAGAUAAUGCUGGGGGUCCAGAUGUCACUGUUGGGAUACUAGCAAAGAUGGACAAAGUGACUCUUCUUCAGAUGGAUGCAAAAUUGCCAAUGGAUAUAUUUGAAAAUGUCAUGCAGCUUGCAAUCGAAGGAUGCAAAGCAAUAGCUCAUUACAUUCGAGAUGUGAUGUCCCACUUGCUCUCCUUUUAUGUGUUAAUCACUCCAUCAGUCAUUUAAUUUUCUCACAUCAUCAUAUUUAAGAAGUUGCUUGCAUGUUGAUUUCAAACCAUUGAAGAAUUAGUAACCAGUUACAUGUUUUGCUAUAUGGAUCAGGUCCUUUUAGAGCAUACAAAACAACUGGAGUGCCGGAAAGGCGUUUAAUACACAGUCUAUUUCAGCGAAUGCCUAUAUGAGUACUUUGAUUCACUCCCGAAGAAUUUGAGUUCAAAUGCGUAAACGGGCACUGUCACUAAAAUUAUAUUCUAUGAAGGAUUAGCCUGUGGCUUUAAACUGAAGAAGACAUAAAUAGCAAAGAAAACAGAAGAGAUGUCUUACGUGAUGCUUAAAUGCUGUCACUUUGAUAUGAACUUCAUCAGAAUGAUUUGUUUAUAUGAUUUUAAUUAAAGGUCAUAGAUAGAUUUUGGAAUGCUUGAAACCUGAGUUUGCGUCAGUGUACUUGAUCCAGGCUAGAGGGUUCAAGGGUAUAACCUAUUCAUGAGUAUAUUUUGUAGUUCUCAAAAUGUUGGCAAAUAUUAAAAGUUCGAAGUGUUUUGGCGAACUUUAGAAGUUCGAAGUGUUUGUUGCCUCUCUGUGAUCGACGCUGGUAAAAUGUAUGAUUCAGUUUCAA